AUGUCCAGACUGGCUGUCUCCAUGGUUGUGGCGCCAAGGUCACCGCAUCUUACAUCCCGAUGCAUUUUCAAGAAGACAUUAUUUGAUGUUAGAUGGCCAUUAUGUUCGCUUCAUAUGGACAGAGGACUAAUGGUACUCUUCCAUGAAGAGAAGCAAGUGGAUCAGUAUGUAGUAGCAGCCGCCUCCCCUAGCUCCUCGUCCCCUUCACUCAGUCCAUCCCUCAUCAUCUCGGAUCCAGCGGAUCUGAGGCGUGCGGGUGCGGAGGCGAGUUUCUCCGGCGACGGCGGCGGCGGUCACCUGCAGGCAAAGGGCGGUGGCGGCACUCGAUUUGAUCUGCAGGAAAGAUAG
RNAcentral lists this ribosomal RNA (348 nucleotides) under Triticum aestivum (bread wheat). Its description in RNAcentral is "partial small subunit ribosomal RNA". The record is from RNAcentral. Lineage: Eukaryota; Viridiplantae; Streptophyta; Magnoliopsida; Poales; Poaceae.